Long non-coding RNA from Asparagus officinalis (garden asparagus), 432 nucleotides. RefSeq lists it as uncharacterized. The transcript is spliced from 3 exons. The record is from RefSeq and is a predicted model, not a curated record. Lineage: Eukaryota; Viridiplantae; Streptophyta; Magnoliopsida; Asparagales; Asparagaceae.
CAUACAUAUUACAAUUGUUUGGUUGUAUUCGUGUUAUCUGUGUCUUGCUGAAGGUAGCGGAAAAUACACGACUACAAUAUUAGCAUUUCCUUCUAAUGAAUUCUUAAGAGUUGGCAUUAAUGUGUCUGUUAUAUACCACAGUAGCUCAUGUUAUGCAAUAAAAAUAACAUCGUUCUUAUGUUUGUGACCUCAGAUAUGGGUGGUAGAGAAGGAAGUGGUCACUCGAGUUUCCCUCAUGUUGCACUCAAUGAGUGUAUCCUUUCAUCAAUGUCGAAAAAGUAUAUUGCUGCGCUCAACCAUGGCAUGAUUUAGAAAUAGGACCUGGAGCAACUGCAGUUUUCAACUGCAGGUACUUCGUGAUCUCAAGAUCUCCACUUCAAGGAGGCCUUCGAGCCAUGCGAGAAUCUGAGGUAGUUUAUACAAUCUUAGCAA